AUUGAACGCUGGCGGCAGGCCUAACACAUGCAAGUCGAGCGGAUGAAGGGAGCUUGCUCCUGGAUUCAGCGGCGGACGGGUGAGUAAUGCCUAGGAAUCUGCCUGGUAGUGGGGGAUAACGUCCGGAAACGGGCGCUAAUACCGCAUACGUCCUGAUGUAGAAAGUGGGGGAUCUUCGGACCUCACGCUAUCAGAUGAGCCUAGGUCGGAUUAGCUAGUUGGUUGGGUAAAGGCCUACGAAGGCGACGAUCCGUAACUGAUCUGAGAGGAUGAUCAGUCACACUGGAACUGAGACACGGUCCAGACUCCUACGGGAGGCAGCAGUGGGGAAUAUUGGACAAUGGGCGAAAGCCUGAUCCAGCAAUGCCGCGUGUGUGAAGAAGGUCUUCGGAUUGUAAAGCACUUUAAGUUGGGAGGAAGGGCAGUAAGUUAAUCCCUUGCUGUUUUGACGUUACCAACAGAAUAAGCACCGGCUAACUUCGUG
RNAcentral lists this ribosomal RNA (484 nucleotides) under uncultured bacterium. RNAcentral's name for it is "partial 16S ribosomal RNA". It matches the Rfam family "Bacterial small subunit ribosomal RNA", at positions 30 to 507 of the family's 1533-position model. The record is from RNAcentral.